This 779-nucleotide non-coding RNA is filed under the name Drosophila virilis. RNAcentral's name for it is "Eukaryotic large subunit ribosomal RNA". It matches the Rfam family "Eukaryotic large subunit ribosomal RNA", at positions 1 to 647 of the family's 3401-position model. The record is from Rfam by way of RNAcentral. Lineage: Eukaryota; Metazoa; Arthropoda; Insecta; Diptera; Drosophilidae.
CAACCUCAACUCAUAUGGGACUACCCCCUGAAUUUAAGCAUAUUAAUUAGGGGAGGAAAAGAAACUAACAAGGAUUUUCUUAGUAGCGGCGAGCGAAAAGAAAUCAGUUCAGCACUAAGUCACUUUGUCUAUAUGGCAAAUGUGAGAUGCAGUGUACGGAACAUCAACAUUCUAGUAUGAGAAGUUAACGAUUUAAGUCCUUCUUAAAUGAGGCCAUUUACCCAUAGAGGGUGCCAGGCCCGUAUAACGUUAAUGAUUACUAGAUGGUGUUUCCAAAAGAGUCGUGUUGCUUGAUAGUGCAGCACUAAGUGGGUGGUAAACUCCAUCUAAAACUAAAUAUAACCAUGAGACCGAUAGUAAACAAGUACCGUGAGGGAAAGUUGAAAAGAACUCUGAAUAGAGAGUUAACUAGUACGUGGGGGUGCUUAGAGGUUAAGCCCGAUGAAACCUGAAUAUCCGUUAUGGAAAAUUCAUCAUUAGAAUUGUAAUAUUUUAAACAAUAUUAUAAUAAUAGUGUGCAUUUUUUCCAUAUAAGGACAUUGUAAUCUAUUAGCAUAAAUAUUUAUCAUAAAAUUAUGUCUGAUUGCUUAUUUGAAUUAUAUGCUUGGCAUUUUAACAUAAAAUAAAAGAUAUAAAUUUGAUAAAGUGCUGAUAGAUUUAUAUGAUUACAGUGCGUUAAUUUUUCGGAAUUAUAUAAUGGCAUAAUUAUCAUUGAUAUUUGUGUUUAUUAUAUGCAUUUGUAUGAUUAACAAUGCGAAAGAUUCAGGAUACCUUCGGGA